UUAAGCGACUAAGCGUACACGGUGGAUGCCCUGGCAGUCAGAGGCGAUGAAGGACGUGCUAAUCUGCGAUAAGCGUCGGUAAGGUGAUAUGAACCGUUAUAACCGGCGAUUUCCGAAUGGGGAAACCCAGUGUGUUUCGACACACUAUCAUUAACUGAAUCCAUAGGUUAAUGAGGCGAACCGGGGGAACUGAAACAUCUAAGUACCCCGAGGAAAAGAAAUCAACCGAGAUUCCCCCAGUAGCGGCGAGCGAACGGGGAGGAGCCCAGAGCCUGAAUCAGUGUGUGUGUUAGUGGAAGCGUCUGGAAAGGCGCGCGAUACAGGGUGACAGCCCCGUACACAAAAAUGCACAUGCUGUGAGCUCGAUGAGUAGGGCGGGACACGUGGUAUCCUGUCUGAAUAUGGGGGGACCAUCCUCCAAGGCUAAAUACUCCUGACUGACCGAUAGUGAACCAGUACCGUGAGGGAAAGGCGAAAAGAACCCCGGCGAGGGGAGUGAAAAAGAACCUGAAACCGUGUACGUACAAGCAGUGGGAGCACGCUUAGGCGUGUGACUGCGUACCUUUUGUAUAAUGGGUCAGCGACUUAUAUUCUGUAGCAAGGUUAACCGAAUAGGGGAGCCGAAGGGAAACCGAGUCUUAACUGGGCGUUAAGUUGCAGGGUAUAGACCCGAAACCCGGUGAUCUAGCCAUGGGCAGGUUGAAGGUUGGGUAACACUAACUGGAGGACCGAACCGACUAAUGUUGAAAAAUUAGCGGAUGACUUGUGGCUGGGGGUGAAAGGCCAAUCAAACCGGGAGAUAGCUGGUUCUCCCCGAAAGCUAUUUAGGUAGCGCCUCGUGAAUUCAUCUCCGGGGGUAGAGCACUGUUUCGGCAAGGGGGUCAUCCCGACUUACCAACCCGAUGCAAACUGCGAAUACCGGAGAAUGUUAUCACGGGAGACACACGGCGGGUGCUAACGUCCGUCGUGAAGAGGGAAACAACCCAGACCGCCAGCUAAGGUCCCAAAGUCAUGGUUAAGUGGGAAACGAUGUGGGAAGGCCCAGACAGCCAGGAUGUUGGCUUAGAAGCAGCCAUCAUUUAAAGAAAGCGUAAUAGCUCACUGGUCGAGUCGGCCUGCGCGGAAGAUGUAACGGGGCUAAACCAUGCACCGAAGCUGCGGCAGCGACGCUGAUGCGUUGUUGGGUAGGGGAGCGUUCUGUAAGCCUGUGAAGGUGUGCUGUGAGGCAUGCUGGAGGUAUCAGAAGUGCGAAUGCUGACAUAAGUAACGAUAAAGCGGGUGAAAAGCCCGCUCGCCGGAAGACCAAGGGUUCCUGUCCAACGUUAAUCGGGGCAGGGUGAGUCGACCCCUAAGGCGAGGCCGAAAGGCGUAGUCGAUGGGAAACAGGUUAAUAUUCCUGUACUUGGUGUUACUGCGAAGGGGGGACGGAGAAGGCUAUGUUGGCCGGGCGACGGUUGUCCCGGUUUAAGCGUGUAGGCUGGUUUUCCAGGCAAAUCCGGAAAACUAAGGCUGAGGCGUGAUGACGAGGCACUACGGUGCUGAAGCAACAAAUGCCCUGCUUCCAGGAAAAGCCUCUAAGCAUCAGGUAACAUCAAAUCGUACCCCAAACCGACACAGGUGGUCAGGUAGAGAAUACCAAGGCGCUUGAGAGAACUCGGGUGAAGGAACUAGGCAAAAUGGUGCCGUAACUUCGGGAGAAGGCACGCUGAUAUGUAGGUGAAGUCCCUCGCGGAUGGAGCUGAAAUCAGUCGAAGAUACCAGCUGGCUGCAACUGUUUAUUAAAAACACAGCACUGUGCAAACACGAAAGUGGACGUAUACGGUGUGACGCCUGCCCGGUGCCGGAAGGUUAAUUGAUGGGGUCAGCGCAAGCGAAGCUCUUGAUCGAAGCCCCGGUAAACGGCGGCCGUAACUAUAACGGUCCUAAGGUAGCGAAAUUCCUUGUCGGGUAAGUUCCGACCUGCACGAAUGGCGUAAUGAUGGCCAGGCUGUCUCCACCCGAGACUCAGUGAAAUUGAACUCGCUGUGAAGAUGCAGUGUACCCGCGGCAAGACGGAAAGACCCCGUGAACCUUUACUAUAGCUUGACACUGAACAUUGAGCCUUGAUGUGUAGGAUAGGUGGGAGGCUUUGAAGUGUGGACGCCAGUCUGCAUGGAGCCGACCUUGAAAUACCACCCUUUAAUGUUUGAUGUUCUAACGUUGACCCGUAAUCCGGGUUGCGGACAGUGUCUGGUGGGUAGUUUGACUGGGGCGGUCUCCUCCUAAAGAGUAACGGAGGAGCACGAAGGUUGGCUAAUCCUGGUCGGACAUCAGGAGGUUAGUGCAAUGGCAUAAGCCAGCUUGACUGCAAGCGUGACGGCGCGAGCAGGUGCGAAAGCAGGUCAUAGUGAUCCGGUGGUUCUGAAUGGAAGGGCCAUCGCUCAACGGAUAAAAGGUACUCCGGGGAUAACAGGCUGAUACCGCCCAAGAGUUCAUAUCGACGGCGGUGUUUGGCACCUCGAUGUCGGCUCAUCACAUCCUGGGGCUGAAGUAGGUCCCAAGGGUAUGGCUGUUCGCCAUUUAAAGUGGUACGCGAGCUGGGUUUAGAACGUCGUGAGACAGUUCGGUCCCUAUCUGCCGUGGGCGCUGGAGAACUGAGGGGGGCUGCUCCUAGUACGAGAGGACCGGAGUGGACGCAUCACUGGUGUUCGGGUUGUCAUGCCAAUGGCACUGCCCGGUAGCUAAAUGCGGAAGAGAUAAGUGCUGAAAGCAUCUAAGCACGAAACUUGCCCCGAGAUGAGUUCUCCCUGACUCCUUGAGAGUCCUGAAGGAACGUUGAAGACGACGACGUUGAUAGGCCGGAUGUGUAAGCGCAGCGAUGCGUUGAGCUAACCGGUACUAAUGAACCGUGAGGCUUAACCUU
RNAcentral lists this ribosomal RNA (2902 nucleotides) under Escherichia coli. RNAcentral describes it as "bacterial LSU rRNA". It matches the Rfam family "Bacterial large subunit ribosomal RNA". The record is from RNAcentral. Lineage: Bacteria; Pseudomonadati; Pseudomonadota; Gammaproteobacteria; Enterobacterales; Enterobacteriaceae.